Molecule: long non-coding RNA, 721 nt
Organism: Mastomys coucha (southern multimammate mouse)
Lineage: Eukaryota; Metazoa; Chordata; Mammalia; Rodentia; Muridae
Exons: 2
Source: RefSeq, a predicted model, not a curated record
GCCCUCAACUUCACCCACAGCAGCUCCCAUAUGAUCUAUUUUAGAUGAUGCAGUAUGACUUGGCUUUGGGAGCAGAGGGUCGGGGAGAGAAUUCUUGAGAACCAUUUGGUGAAAAUACAUCAUGGAGUAUUGGAGCAUGAAGAUAGGAGUAAGAUUCAACCAGGUGCUGUGGAAGAGAGAAACAGAGAUGUACUGAGGCUGGAGAGACCAGGAGAAAGGUCCUUCCAACAGAGCCAAGGAAGCCGACCUGAGAGCUCUGGCUUUUUGCCGCAUCCUUGCAUCUUCAGUCUUCACCAGCCAGCCUGCUUUCCCUCCGCACCAUCCCUCUGUGGGUAAACCUGUAUCCCAAAGAGUGAGCCUAUAUCUUCUCAAGGUCCCUCUCUCUUCAAGCACAUUAUCUAUGCAGGUUCAUAGUGGUAGCCUUUCAAAGCACACAAGUGGCCAGGCCCUUCCCAGAGGACAUCCAACCUCCAGGUUCAAUCCCCAAAAUACACUGCCCUAAUGGCUGGACCUAGCCCCUGUGCUAGAAUAAUUCCUCCAAUCCUUGAGCUCCCUUCAAGUUCUGGACUUAAAAUCCCACCAAUCUGUACCCUGAAAAGCUCCCUACUCCCAAGAAAUCUGUUAUAAAGCCUGCCUUCUGCCCAGCUCUCUGCUGCUUCUUACUUAAGAAGAGGCAGCCACUGUCCUAGGUUUUCCCUUCUCUAUAAAUCCCUUGUGUGAA